Molecule: ribosomal RNA, 497 nt
Filed under: uncultured bacterium
Lineage: Bacteria
Description: partial 16S ribosomal RNA
Rfam family: Bacterial small subunit ribosomal RNA
Source: RNAcentral
GAUGAACGCUGGCGGCGUGCCUAAUACAUGCAAGUCGAGCGAACGGACGAGAAGCUUGCUUCUCUGAUGUUAGCGGCGGACGGGUGAGUAACACGUGGAUAACCUACCUAUAAGACUGGGAUAACUUCGGGAAACCGGAGCUAAUACCGGAUAAUAUUUUGAACCGCAUGGUUCAAAAGUGAAAGACGGUCUUGCUGUCACUUAUAGAUGGAUCCGCGCUGCAUUAGCUAGUUGGUAAGGUACCGGCUUACCAAGGCAACGAUGCAUAGCCGACCUGAGAGGGUGAUCGGCCACACUGGAACUGAGACACGGUCCAGACUCCUACGGGAGGCAGCAGUAGGGAAUCUUCCGCAAUGGGCGAAAGCCUGACGGAGCAACGCCGCGUGAGUGAUGAAGGUCUUCGGAUCGUAAAACUCUGUUAUUAGGGAAGAACAUAUGUGUAAGUAACUGUGCACAUCUUGACGGUACCUAAUCAGAAAGCCACGGCUAACUACGUG